UGAGUUUGAUUCCUGGCUCAGGAUGAACGCUGGCGGCGUGCUUAACACAUGCAAGUCGAACGGUGAAGCCCAGCUUGCUGGGUGGAUCAGUGGCGAACGGGUGAGUACACGUGAGCAACCUGCCCCUGACUCUGGGAUAUAGCGCUGGAAACGGCGUCUAAUACUGGAUAUGUGACGUGACCGCAUGGUCUGCGUCUGGAAAGAAUUUCGGUUGGGGAUGGGCUCGCGGCCUAUCAGCUUGUUGGUGAGGUAAUGGCUCACCAAGGCGUCGACGGGUAGCCGGCCUGAGAGGGUGACCGGCCACACUGGGACUGAGACACGGCCCAGACUCCUACGGGAGGCAGCAGUGGGGAAUAUUGCACAAUGGGCGCAAGCCUGAUGCAGCAACGCCGCGUGAGGGACGACGGCCUUCGGGUUGUAAACCUCUUUUAGCAGGGAAGAAGCGAAAGUGACGGUACCUGCAGAAAAAGCGCCGGCUAACUACGUGCCAGCAGCCGCGGUAAUACGUAGGGCGCAAGCGUUAUCCGGAAUUAUUGGGCGUAAAGAGCUCGUAGGCGGUUUGUCGCGUCUGCUGUGAAAUCCGGAGGCUCAACCUCCGGCCUGCAGUGGGUACGGGCAGACUAGAGUGCGGUAGGGGAGAUUGGAAUUCCUGGUGUAGCGGUGGAAUGCGCAGAUAUCAGGAGGAACACCGAUGGCGAAGCAGAUCUCUGGGCCGUAACUGACGCUGAGGAGCGAAAGGUGGGGGAGCAAACAGGCUUAGAUACCCUGGUAGUCCACCCCGUAAACGUUGGGAACUAGUUGUGGGGGUCCAUUCCACGGAUUCCGUGACGCAGCUAACGCAUAGGUCCCCGCCUGGGGGAGUACGCGGCAGCUAAACUCAAGGAUGACGGGACCCGCACAGCGGCGGAGCAUGCGAUUAUCCGAUGCACCGCGAAGACCUGACCAAGGCUGACUAUACGAGACCGCCAGAUUGUACACUCUUUG
Molecule: ribosomal RNA, 984 nt
Filed under: uncultured Microbacterium sp.
Lineage: Bacteria; Bacillati; Actinomycetota; Actinomycetes; Micrococcales; Microbacteriaceae
Description: bacterial SSU rRNA
Rfam family: Bacterial small subunit ribosomal RNA
Source: RNAcentral